Molecule: long non-coding RNA, 976 nt
Filed under: Parus major (Great Tit)
Lineage: Eukaryota; Metazoa; Chordata; Aves; Passeriformes; Paridae
Description: lncRNA (ENSPMJG00000010002.1)
Source: RNAcentral
ACUGGGUUAAAUAUUCAUUUGAAGUUAAAAUGUACAUGAAUAUAAUCUAAAUACAGCAGGGCUUAUAUUUUAACUAGUACCCAAAUUAUUCACACUUUUCAGAACUAAAUUUAGGCUUCCAUUUUUGGGUUGAAACUGAUAAAGCACAAAGCCCUACCACAACCCAAACACUGAAAAGGAAAAUAAAUUUUAAAAGCCCUCACAGCACAAAUUGAAAACAAGCUAAGAUCCUCAUGUAGACUGGAGAGAAAUGGCUCUCUUGCUCUGGUUUGCAUUUUAGUUCUCAUUUUUCAUGUUUUUUGCAAGCAGGUAGGAGCAAAGAUCACAAGUCCAGAUGUCUUGCUGCUUUCAAAUCUUCUUGAGUUUGAAUUAGAGGGAUGAGAAAAAGAGCAGACAAAAACAUGGAUAAAUACAAGAUAAAUUUUGAAAGAAAACUUUUAAAAACCAAUCAUGGUUGCUAAGUAACAAAAGCAUACUUAACCUUUGCUAAUGAUUAACAAACCACAAAAUUUGCACAAGCCAGGAAACAAGUAGCAAAGGCAUUUCUUUUUGGGAGUUUUACAGGUUUUUUUGCAGUUUUUGCUCUUCUAAAAUUUGCAAGGAGAUAAGAGGGAGGAAAUUAGAAAAUUACUGAGCUAAAGAAGGCUUUGUUCCCCUGUGAAAAACUAGCAAGAGAGGUUUGUGUUCAGAAGAUUUUUCCCUGAAUAAUACUCACCCUGAAAUGAGAUCUGAGCCUGAAUGUACCAAGCUACCUUUUGGGUUGGUGCCUGGUUUCCCAAGAUUUAUGUCACCUACUCAUCACUGCAAAGGCAUGGGGCAUGACCUUCACUUUGACUGUUCAGAGUCAAUUACGAGGGACAAGACACAUUCCAUUUCAGAAAAUCACUGUGGCAAGAAAGAAGCAAUGAUGCAGCCCACAAAGGUAUUGUAGUGGAUUUUACAUUAUUUGAUAUCAUUGCAUUAGAAUUGUCAUUCA